AAUAAACUUUUUUGUUCAGCAAAGAUUUUUAAAACUCAUUAUAGACUAUAGAUUGAUAGAAAACUUUUUUCUAUAUCUUUAAUUUUUAGUUAUAAUAAUUAAAUUAUUGUGUUUAUAUACUGGUACAAGAAUCCGCCGGUGGCGGAGUUGUUAACACUUAAUUCAUCAUAGCGUAGCGUCACCCUUGCGUACACAUAUAAAAUAAUAUUUGUGCGACAAAACAAUAAUUUGCACCGAAUCAUAAUUUGGAUGACAAAAAUUAAAAAAAAUGUCAAAAGCAAUCAAAAAAAGCAGAGAGACGAAAAAUUACUCUCAAGACAACGUCAAUAAUGCAGUAGAUGCUGUCAAAAAAGAUAUGUCAUUACGUGUUGCAAGUAAAUAUUUGAUGUUUCCUGCUGCACAAUUUAUGUGAAAUCUGAAAAUAUUGUUCCUUUGAUGGCUCGAAAGAGCCCACAAACAUAUCUAACAAGAGAAGAAAAAAACAAUCUUGUAGAAUGGAUUUUUUAUCUAAGUGAACGAGGAUUUCCAGUAAAUAAAAAUCAACUUUUGGACAGUAUGAGAGAUGUAAUUGUUGAAUUGAAGAUAGAAACCCCUUUUGUAAACAACAGACCUGGUCGUCACUGGGACGAGACGUUUCUCCGGCGUCAUCCUCAGUUAACUUCAAAAGUAGCUCAAACGUUAACAUCAACUCGUAUUUCAGCAACAGAGGAGGUUUUACGCAAUUGGUUUAGAGAAGUCGACCAACACUUAAAAAAACUAGAUUUGCUAAGAAUCGAACCACCAAGAGUUUUUAAUUGCGAUGAAAGUGGAUUUCAACUUUGUCCAAAACCAGGUUGUGUUGUUGUAAGAAAAGGUUUCAAGUCUGUGUACAAAAUUGCUGAUGGUGAUGAAAAGAAGUACUUGACUUCAUUAUUUACAGUGAAUGCAGCGGGCUUAAUAGUCCCACCUAUGGUUGUGCAUUGGUACCAACGAUAUGGUGUAAGCAGUAAAAUGUCUGCAAGAUGGAACAUUGGCUUGACUGAAAAAGGAUACAUGGCUGCGGAGUCAUUCUUUGAAUAUAUUUCAAACAUCUUUUAUUCACGACUGAUAAAAAAUCAAAUUAAAUUUCCAGUCGUCCUUUACCUUGAUGGUUAUUCAUCGCACUUGACUUUGCUUCUGGUUCAGUUUUGUCGCAGUAACUAAAUUGAAUUAAUUGCAUUGUAUCCCAACGCACAUUCUCCAGCCGUUAGACGUAUCUGUUUUAUUAUUUAAAAAAUGCGUGGAAAGACUAUAUAAUUGGAGAUUAAAAAACGAAGGUUAAUGUUUGAAAAAAGAUUUUGCUCCAGUAUUGAAAAAAACAUUUUGAUUCUCUAAACAACUUAAAAAAUAUGAUUAAAAAUGAGUUCAAAACCUGUGGAUUCUUACCUUUUUCGGUGAAUACUGUUAAUUUCAAUAUGUUAAAUAAAAAUAAAAAGCCUGGUUGCACUGAAAGCGAGACCAAUGACGUGAAUUUGAAUUCUAGCAAUAAGAAACACGAGUAUAAUAAUCAUUUACAAAUAUUUGAAAACAAUAUUACUUCGGAGAUAUUAAGAUUUCAAAUCAGCGGAGCUCGCUAGACCAAUUCAAUACGAAGGAUUGUUUAUGUACUGGAUAAACAUCAAGCAACAAUGUGGUGUGAAUUGAAUCUUAUAUUAUUAUAACAAUAUGACUAAAUAUUUUAAUAUUUUUUCUUGAAAUAAAUUUAUUUAAAAAAUUUAGUAAACAUAGUUCAGUUUUAACUACGGAAAAUAGUAAUCUAACUUUAGAUUCUAUUCUAACACUUACUUUUGACGAAAGAAUGAUUGAGAGUGUAAAUGAUGAAUGUAAUGUUACUGUAAGUAUUACGGAAUGUGUAAGCAAAGAAAAUAGUUACGUUCCAGGUGAAAAUCAAGAACUAAAUCUGGAAAAUAAAGACAUUCUUAUCGUAAUAGUACAAGAUUUAAGUAUUAGUAUUGAAGUAUUAAAAUACGAAUAUUUUACAAGAUUCAGAUAUUAAAAUAGUAUAAUAUUAGAUAUGAAUGUUUUACAAGUCAAAUAUAUAUGGUAGCAAUGAUGACAAUAAUAACGUGCAAAAUCGGAUGACUAGAGGAUAUUUACUUUGUCUCCCAGAUAGCACAUGGAUGUCUAUUAGACGUCCAUCGAACGUUUCCUUGUGAACAUUGGAACGUCCGAUGGAUGUCCGAUUAAAGUUCGCUGGACGUUCAGUGGACGUACAUUCGAGGUAUGUUUGCAACUCCGUACGACGUCCAUAAAAUGUCCAUGCUGGACGUUCACUGAACGUUCGACGGAUCUUAAUUGGACGUCUAAUGGACGUCUAAUGGACGUUUUUAUUUCUAUCAACGGACGUCCACAGAAUGUCCGAAACAUGUUCCGUGUUUAAAAGUUGCAUUAAUUAUAAGUUUUAACACUCUUGGUUAUUAAAAAUAUUUAUAGACAUAAGUGAAUUUUAU
Molecule: long non-coding RNA, 2468 nt
Organism: Pseudomyrmex gracilis
Lineage: Eukaryota; Metazoa; Arthropoda; Insecta; Hymenoptera; Formicidae
Exons: 3
Source: RefSeq, a predicted model, not a curated record